ACUCCUACGGGAGGCAGCAGUGGGGAAUAUUGCACAAUGGGGGAAACCCUGAUGCAGCCAUGCCGCGUGUGUGAAGAAGGCCUUCGGGUUGUAAAGCACUUUCAGUAGGGAGGAAGGUAGUGUAGUUAACACCUGCAUUAUUUGUACGUUACCUACAGAAGAAGCACCGGCUAACUCCGUGCCAGCAGCCGCGGUAAGUACGGAGGGUGCGAGCGUUAAUCGGAAUUACUGGGCGUAAAGCGCAUGCAGGCGGCCUGUUAAGUCAGAUGUGAAAGCCCGGGGUCUUAACCUCGGAAUUGCAUUUGAAACUGGCAGGCUAGAGUCUUGUAGAGGGGUUAGAAUUUCAGGUGUAG
Molecule: ribosomal RNA, 353 nt
Filed under: uncultured bacterium
Lineage: Bacteria
Description: bacterial SSU rRNA
Rfam family: Bacterial small subunit ribosomal RNA
Source: RNAcentral